UACAGAGGGUGCAAGCGUUAAUCGGAAUUACUGGGCGUAAAGCGUGCGUAGGCGGUUAUGUAAGUCAGAUGUGAAAGCCCCGGGCUCAACCUGGGAAUGGCAUUUGAUACUGCAUAGCUAGGAUGCGGAAGAGGGAAGUGGAAUUUCCGGUGUAGCGGUGAAAUGCGUAGAUAUCGGAAGGAACAUCAGUGGCGAAAGCGACUUCCUGGUCCAGCAUCGACGUUCAGGCACGAAAGCGUGGGGAGCAAGCAGG
Molecule: ribosomal RNA, 253 nt
Filed under: uncultured bacterium
Lineage: Bacteria
Description: partial 16S ribosomal RNA
Rfam family: Bacterial small subunit ribosomal RNA
Source: RNAcentral